CCUGAACCUCAAAAGUGGCAAAACUAGUUUUUACCUCUGUUGCUCCUUGUCUUGCUAAACUCCAUAGGCUCUCUUCCCAUUUUCCCAAACUCCCACAUUUUUCUGAGGAGCGCCCCCCCGCCCCCCCAGGAAGCUGAGAGAGGGUGUAGUAGCUUCAGCCAGAGGACAAACUGUGAGCAUCAGAGAGGAAGACAAGUUCUGCUGACCAGGGGGCACUCAGCAAGGCAGGGGCUGAAGACAGUGCUGUGCUUUAAAGAGAAUUUGUGUUUCACAGCCACUGAGGUCCUGAGUUAGACACCUCGUUCUGUUAUAGGAGAACUGUCCCCACAGGGGCACCGGAGAGGCUCAGUCCCUUAAGCAUCCGGCUCUUGAUUUUGGCUCAUGAUCUCCUGGUUGUAUAAUGCAACCUGAGAUAUUAGAACCAAAUUCAUCCCUGGAAGAAAAAAAUAGCCUCACUAUGCACAUAGGUUGAAGAUCUGUACUGAAUGUGGACAAAGUUGCAUAUUCCUUAUCAAGUGGCAUUGGCAAGGAGAAUGGAAGACAAGGAGAUGAAACGGCAGUACCUGUACCUUAUCCUCAUACAGAAAGGGUGGGGUAGGCUACAUGAGAACACUAAGCAAUGCCAGGCUUGCCAGAAGUCAAGUGCAGAUGGAAAUGGAUGACAUAUGAUAAGCAGUUUCCGGGGCACUCAUUGUAUUUAUCAUGGAACACUGACAGAAUGAUUUCAGAACAAUUAACAACUGGCAAAGGAAGACUAAGCCAUCAGUUGGCAGAAGAAAGUGAAAGGGGCACUUUGUGACAGCACCUGUGAUUCUAUCCUUUACUGAAGUCUGUCCCACAAUCCCACAUCUGGAGAUCUAAUAGAAUAAGCCACACUCAAUUGCCACAGUAAGUAUUCAGAGAGGUUGAACACUGAAACUAAACAGCAGCUCUGGCAGCAGGCACUAGAUUAACAUGGCUAUUUUGUUUCUGUCUCAG
RNAcentral lists this long non-coding RNA (978 nucleotides) under Felis catus (domestic cat). RNAcentral describes it as "lncRNA (ENSFCAG00000050417.1)". Lineage: Eukaryota; Metazoa; Chordata; Mammalia; Carnivora; Felidae. The record is from RNAcentral.